CUGACGAGUGGCGGACGGGUGAGUAAUGUCUGGGAAACUGCCUGAUGGAGGGGGAUAACUACUGGAAACGGUAGCUAAUACCGCAUAACGUCGCAAGACCAAAGAGGGGGACCUUCGGGCCUCUUGCCAUCGGAUGUGCCCAGAUGGGAUUAGCUAGUAGGUGGGGUAACGGCUCACCUAGGCGACGAUCAGUAGCCGGCCUGAGAGGGUGAACGGCCACAUUGGGACUGAGACACGGCCCAAACUCCUACGGGAGGCAGCAUG
RNAcentral lists this ribosomal RNA (264 nucleotides) under uncultured bacterium. RNAcentral's name for it is "partial 16S ribosomal RNA". It matches the Rfam family "Bacterial small subunit ribosomal RNA", at positions 88 to 353 of the family's 1533-position model. The record is from RNAcentral.